This 988-nucleotide long non-coding RNA is filed under the name Gopherus agassizii (Agassiz's desert tortoise). Its description in RNAcentral is "lncRNA (ENSGAGG00000005114.1)". Lineage: Eukaryota; Metazoa; Chordata; Testudines; Testudinidae. The record is from RNAcentral.
GCGGGUAUUAUAUCAGGGGUGUAUGGAUGGGUGAAACUCUGAUACCCACAAAGGAAGGGUCAUUACAGGGGCAUGGCAGGGUGGUGCCAGGGAGCAUGGCCGGCCCUGAGUUACAUGUGACGCUGUGUUAUUGGUUUGCACCUUGCAGGAUUAAGGGGACCCCCCCAGCACGGUGGCAGGGGGCCCUCACAGCUGGGAAGAUCAAGGAAAACCCUGGGGACCAUCGCAGCAGCGGCCAGGCAUGGAGGAGGAGACCUGCACGCCUCUCGUCCCAUUUGCUACGCAGUCCAAGAUGGUCAGCCGAUAUGAACCAAAAGCCGACAUCACGGAGCUCCCCACCCAUCAGCGAGGCCCGUCUUACAACGCGGAUGAAUUCUGGAGCGGGCGUAGCCAGCGGCCAAGCCCGCACUGGAUGGAAGAAUACAGGGAAACCUCACCCCUGCUGAGGUCUAGCUCUGCCGUCCACAGGCCCAAUGUUCAGACAGAUGCAGACUCCUGGCACGUGCUGGCCAUCCCGCAGGCGCUCCCCUCUCCUCGGGAGCUGUGUCGGAGGAGAAGCAGCCAGCCGAAACGAAAGAGACCGGCGAACGGCAGCGUGAUGUCGGUCUGUUACCACCUGGAGGACUUGAAGAAAAGGCAAAGCAGCAUUGAUCAGCUGAAGAGGCUGAAAUGGGGUGGAUACGGAUCCCCAGCCAACUCUGAGGGGCUCGAAGGCGCCGCUGUCUCUCUAGCCGAAGAAUUGCAAAGCGGAAGAGACCUGCUGAGCCGUUUGACCAAGCCAAGACCUUCCUGGCUCUGUGAAGAGGACUCUUUUGUUAGCCGCAGCGGCAGCGGGCAGCGGAGCUGCAGCAUGGGAGAGCAGCAAGGGAUCCCCGAGGGAAGCCGGGUGGGCUCCUCCCUCGUGGCCAUGGCAGACCGACCCCAGCCGCCAGUCAGGUGCCUGCCUCAGGAAGCCUUCUGGGGCUUUGGGCACCAGCCAGAAGAGUGA